UGCAGGAAUAACAUAGAACAUAAAUGAAUCGACAAUGACAAUUUCACGGAUGUAUCGAAAAUGCAAGUUGAAAUGCAAAAUAAUCUUCUAUUAUCGAACUACGCUAAAGCUGAAGAUUCUCGAGAUACACUUGAGAGCAAACUUAAUUGAUACUCAUGAGUUUCGAAAUUUCUGCUAAAAUUCCUCUGAGAGCAUCGACGAAGGAAGUGUACAUUUAAAAAAGACAAGUUUAUCACGAGGAAUAAAGGAACGCAUUCUAUUCAUCAAAGUGUCUUUUCAUGGACUGCUUAAAUCUUCUCAUAUCUAAAACCUUCAAAAUAUCACAUACCAGACAUGGGAAUUGAUCACUAUAACACUGUGUAUAAUAAUUCUUCCAAAAAAGCAACUAUAUAAAAGAAUAUAAUCCUAUAUAACAAUUUCUGUCUUCUAAGACAAUGUUUAUAUCCUUCUAUGUAUAGAAUUCUUGCCAAGGCAACAAGUUCCCAACAGGAGAUAUAACGUUAAGGCAUCAAAAUUCCUAUCUCUGUCUGAGAGGCAGUGUUGAAAUGGAACAAGGAAUCGGAUGCAUCCUCCAGCGAUCCAGUGAAAAGUUGAUCCCUUAAAGAUCCGGGCACGCCCGGGAGCAACGAGCUCCGAUUCAAAGCUUAAAAAAGCUACUUACUUUCUAAAACAAAAGCUCGAAUCUCCCGUCUUUUCCAGCGAUAAAACUGCUAUCCAUGAAAAAAAUGAGAAAAAAAUGAGAAAGAGUUCGAUAACCUGACAGCAACCUCCUCUUUAGCAAAUGUCACCAAGCUGUCAGCAAGACGACGUUUCGUGGAUAAGCGGUUGCCAAGUGGAAUUGUUUGGCAUGCGCGUUGUAUUUCGAAAAGUAUCAUUGUCGUAAGAGAUGUAACAUAGUUGAUUAAAACUUUGACUAAACCUUUUUCUUAUGAACUAACCAUUUGGCUUCGAAUAACGAGUAUGACUCGUCAUAUUAAUAUGCUACAUAUCGUAUAUAAACAUAAUGACAAUAAUUAUUUAUAGAGCCACGGAUAUUUAUACAGAUUCAUAUCUUUACAUGUAUAAUUUAAAAAGUGUAUUGUAAAUAUUUUAUAUAUCUUUGUGUAUUAUGCACGAUUUGUGUAUUUUUUAAACUUAACAUUUCCCACAAAUGUGUACAAAUCGAAAAAUACUUUAUAAUAUACUGUACAUACAAAGCAAGUGACGAUGAGCUACUUAUACUUCACACGUCGAUUAAGUCACGUAAAACAUGUCAAUUAAAUCGAAGGAUUAAUUCACUACAGCCCGUGCCAUAGUCAGUGACAAAAUUUGUAUUUAUUUUCUUUUUUCUUCUUCUUUGCGUAUGUUUAUACAUCAAAACAUGUGACGACUCUAAUUGGCGUUUCUAAUGUUUGAAACGAUGCAAAAUAUAUCAGGCGAUAAUCUCUCAUGAUGUUAUAAGACAAGGGAUUAGUUAAAAAGAUUUAAAGGACGGUAGAGAUUGUUCUUAAUGCAUUUAGGGUUGUGUAUGUCUGAUAUACAUAAGUGUACAUAUGCUAGCUAUAAAAAGUAUUUAUUGUAGCAUUUACAGGCUAAUUAAUUAGAUCUAAGUAUAUCAAUUUUCAUAUCACGUCAUAUCAUUCAGUGAUACUUCCAUAUUACUGUAACAAUUUGAUACUAUUUGAUACUAUAAACAUGAAAUUGAGAAUCUGAUUAAAAACAAUAGUUCUACUGGGAACUAAGGGUAUGCGUAAGUACCUUUUAUAGUCACUGUAUUUCGUGUCUGUAAGAUUAAUUUGUAAAUUGAUAUGUAUAUAAAAUUCCUUUAUAUCUGCAUAUAAAGUUAUACGUUUAUAAGAUAUAUUAUGCAAAUCGUGCAUUGUACGAUGCCUAAUUGUACGAUCAUUCUAAAAAUGAUUAAUUAUAGAAGUGUAAUUGUAAGUACAUUCCAUUAUACAGAUAUAGAUAAGUUAAAUGUAUAGAUAAGAUAGCAUACUAUAACAGAACGUAAGCUAAUGAUAAAAUGUUUUGAGUUAAGUAAUUAGUAAGAUAAGAGCUUGGAAUAUUAAAUAUAAAUAUGAUGUAAACCGAAAAGCGAAAAUUAAAAACAAUACUAAAAAAAAU
Long non-coding RNA from Bombus huntii, 2103 nucleotides. RefSeq lists it as uncharacterized. Lineage: Eukaryota; Metazoa; Arthropoda; Insecta; Hymenoptera; Apidae. The record is from RefSeq and is a predicted model, not a curated record. The transcript has 3 exons.